AAAGUCGUAACAAGGUUUCCGUAGGUGAACCUGCGGAAGGAUCAUUAUCGUGGGGCUCCGGCCCCGUCGAGAUAACACCCUUGCCUUUAUGAGUACCUUGGUUCCCUCCCCCGACCCCCGGGGAGCGGGAGGGGCCUCGUCCGUUUCCCCGCGAGGGGACCGCAAAACACGCUGUAAUCACCUGUAAACGUCUGAUACAACAAGCAAAAAGUCAAAACUUUCAACAACGGAUCUCUUGGUUCUG
RNAcentral lists this unclassified non-coding RNA (244 nucleotides) under Ascomycota sp. Its description in RNAcentral is "partial contains small subunit ribosomal RNA, internal transcribed spacer 1, and 5.8S ribosomal RNA". The stretch from base 1 to 47 matches the Rfam family "Eukaryotic small subunit ribosomal RNA", at positions 1785 to 1831 of the family's 1831-position model. Lineage: Eukaryota; Fungi; Ascomycota. The record is from RNAcentral.